RNAcentral lists this ribosomal RNA (253 nucleotides) under uncultured bacterium. Its description in RNAcentral is "partial 16S ribosomal RNA". It matches the Rfam family "Bacterial small subunit ribosomal RNA", at positions 524 to 776 of the family's 1533-position model. The record is from RNAcentral.
UACAGAGGGGGCAAGCGUUAUUCGGAAUUAUUGGGCGUAAAGGGCGCGUAGGCGGCUUGGCAAGUGGAAGGUGAAAUCCCUCGGCUUAACCGAGGAACUGCCUCCCAAACUGCUUGGCUUGAGACCGGGAGAGGUGAGUGGAAUCCCCAGUGUAGCGGUGAAAUGCGUAGAUAUUGGGAGGAACACCAGUGGCGAAGGCGGCUCACUGGACCGGUACUGACGCUGAUGCGCGAAAGCGUGGGGAGCAAAUGGG